AAGCAGGUCUACCAGGUGGUGCAGCAGCAAGAGGGACAAAGGAGGCAUUCUGGACCGAUGCCCUGAAGGCCUGACUUUGGAGCGCCCCGUGGAAAGUGAUGGAGCUGGGCAGGUUCGGUGGCACACCCUCACCGUAUAAAAAGACGAGGCCUGCUAUGGCGCCGUUCCGGUCGGGUCCAUCGCACUCUCGGUGGACUUGGCCCUCGGCAUCUCCAAGGGUCAACGGGUGCUCUGCCUUGGCAUGCGCACGUACAACACGGCCUCGAGCAGCUCCGCAUCUUCAAGCGUCAGCUCGCGCUCGCCUUUCCUCCACGCGGCGUCAUGGCGCGAUUUCGCUUGGCGCACAGAUGGGCUAAUUCCAAGAUUCAGUCUACGGAUGCUGAUUGAAGACUGUUGCAUGUCUAGGCUGGGCUCUCUAUCUCAAUCUGCUUCAGUGAGGAAGCUCAUGGACAUCCCCCUCUUUGGAAGUCAUGGCCAUAUGGAGAGCUGUGGGUACCUGGUAUAUGCAGAAGGGCAUGGGCAUCUGUGUUAAAGCAACACAAACACUUGACUAUCCAUAUCUGCACACAUAUGCCUAUUACACACCUUGCUAGCAA
Molecule: long non-coding RNA, 596 nt
Organism: Lolium perenne
Lineage: Eukaryota; Viridiplantae; Streptophyta; Magnoliopsida; Poales; Poaceae
Source: RefSeq, a predicted model, not a curated record